GAUGAAGAACGUAGCGAAAUGCGAUAAGUAAUGUGAAUUGCAGAAUUCAGUGAAUCAUCGAAUCUUUGAACGCACCUUGCACCCUUUGGCAUUCCGAAGGGUAUGCUCGUUUGAGUGUCAUUGUACUCUCACUCUCCCGAUGCUUUUGGAUCGGGAGUGGUGGACUUGGGUGUUGCUGCUUUGCUGUGGCUCGCCUCAAAUGGAGUAGUGCAACUCUUGGUUGGACAUAGUACGGCGUGAUAAGUGUCUUCGCCGGCGCCUCAUUAUAGAGGGUGGCCGAUCGGGAGCUCUGUGCUUCAAACCGUCUUCGGACAACAUCUGACAACUUGACCUCAAAUUGAGUAGGACUACCCGCUGAACUUAAGCAUAUCAAUAAGCGGAGGA
RNAcentral lists this unclassified non-coding RNA (384 nucleotides) under soil metagenome. RNAcentral's name for it is "partial contains 5.8S ribosomal RNA, internal transcribed spacer 2, and large subunit ribosomal RNA". The stretch from base 1 to 120 matches the Rfam family "5.8S ribosomal RNA", at positions 35 to 154 of the family's 154-position model. The record is from RNAcentral.